RNAcentral lists this long non-coding RNA (2911 nucleotides) under Salvia miltiorrhiza (redroot sage). RNAcentral's name for it is "long non-coding RNA (SMIL_LNC006832)". The record is from RNAcentral. Lineage: Eukaryota; Viridiplantae; Streptophyta; Magnoliopsida; Lamiales; Lamiaceae.
AAAAAAAACACAAAUAAGAAAAAUAGUCAUGAGUUUUGUAGAGUGGUACAAUCUUUCUCUCAUUUGACUUCAACCGAUUUGUUCUGAUACCAAUUCGCCAGGUAACUGCUGAUUUCAACUUCAUUUUAUGGAUUUAAAUUUCUUGACUUCUGGAGUUAUUUGGUCAAUGCAGUAGUACUAAAAAUCGAUUUUGAUUUUAUAGGUCUGUUCUGAUUCUAAUUUGACUGCAGAUAUUGAAAAUCAUGUGAAGACUCCAAUUUUCUUCCACCGGGGAUAUGUUUUUCUUGCUUGGGAUUGCAUAUUAUGUAUUGCAUUUCCUGAAAUGAAAUUAUUUUCUUUUAUUACGGGACAAAAUUUUGACAUUUUCUUUCAAAUAAGGACUUUCAAAGAUGAUUUUGAAGUGGCCUUUCAGCUGCUUGAUACCUUCGAGAAUCUAAUUUCGUUCUUGUUGCAUUUAUGUGUUAUAGAAGUCAUCCUUGUUCGAGUUCUUUAUAUUAGUGAUUUUGAUGCCAAAUUGCUGAUAUAAUGCCUGAAAUGCUGCAUUCACCAGAAACCACGAGUUUGUGUAACAACAUUAAGGAGGCGUUUGCUUUUAAUGAUUGAUAAGAUACAUGGAGUAUUUUUAUCCUCAUUACUAAGAUUUCUUUAAUCCCACUAUUUCAAUGAGAUAUGAAUCAAGCAAAACUAGCUCAAAUGACAGACAUUAUGAGGGCCUUGUGGUAUCCCAAAGUUCCACUCCGUUUGAGUAAACAAUGGAUUAGCUUAUUUCAUUUUUAUCUAUCCAUGUUAAUCCUCAAAAUUAAACGCCCUAAGAGGAUGUUUUGUAUCACAAUUUUUUUUUUAAUUUUUUUUCCGAGUAGGAUAUCAGGAAAUCACUAAUUUAAAAGGUGCCAAGUUGGAUAGAAUAUUCUAAGUAGACUUCAAGUGAAAAUAAUAGCUGUUUCGUUGCUUAAUGGUUUAAGGGAAUUUGCCCUAGCCUCCAAACCCUGUAUUUUACAAAAGGGAAUUUGUCAUUUAAUUGCAUUGGACUCAGAAGUUCUUUGUUUUGCCAUAGUUUGUACUAUUGGGACUUAGGUUACUUGAUUUUCCAUGGCAUCUCAUGUGGAAUCAACGUUUGAAAAUCAAUCUUACUAGGCAUAGGAGACCCUUGUGCUCUAUAUUAAUAUGUCUUAACCUGCAUUGAUAGAAUCCUGAGGAACUGAUUGUAAAGUCCUAUCCAUUUGCUAUGUCGGCAUACCUGACCUAGGCCUGGCAGUUUGCCGUGUUACUGCCUUUUACAUUUCAGUUAAUUUAGUUUGAGAACCUUCACAUUCAUAUAUCCAAAAUCUCAUGAGGAAAUAGGCUGAUGAGAACUGUCUUUUAACAUUUGUAUUUUAAGUUGAGAAUGUGAGUGGAUAUAAUUAAGCAUAUUGAAUAUAAAUGAGAAAUGCAUCUGCUUUUUAUUGGAUCUUCUUUUCGGCCCCGGUUUGGUUGUCUUUUCGUCAUGUAAUUGAUGCAUGUCUGCAACUGAUCUGUUGACGUGUCAAAUACAAAAUGUGGAACAAUCAUUUCCAAGUGUCUAGUUUAAUUCUCUGCUUCCUGAAGAUGAGUCUUCAUUGUUAUUAGUCUGAGAUUCCUGAAGAUGAGUCUUCAUCGUUAUUGGUCUGAGAUUUCUUCUAAAGAAAGGUGCUAUAUACUUCAUUUUUUUAUAUUUUGUUACUAAAAUUCUGUCUCAUGAAGAGGUAAGGCAACAUUUUCAGGAAAAUAUAGGAGAAAAAAUCACUAAUUUUUUUGUUUGACUAGUUUGCGUUGUUGGUAUGAUCUUACUUUAUACAUGGAGCCUCAUUGUUUUAUCUCACUAGUUAAUAAAUGUAAAAGCUUCUCUCUCUCUUGAUUGCAUUAGAUAACUGUAAAAGGAUUUCUUUUUUACUUAGCAAUAAUAGACCUGAAGAACCAAGCUAUGAAUUUGAGGUAGUUGCUACUCCCAUAACUCAGUUUUUUGAGUGGGUUAUUCCUUUGAAAUGUUUGUUGAGAUUGAUUGAACUCUUGAAAAGCUGAAGUUGAAUUCCAUGUAAAUUACUGCAUAAACCUAUUUGUUUGUUUCAACAUGUGGUCAUUCCAAUGCCCUGAAGCAUAAAUGUAUAAAAAUGGAGAUCUGAGAAGGUCAUGAUCAUACAUUUGAUGUACAUUAUUGUUGCUUAUUUUGAUAAAUAUUUCUUAUUAUACCAUACCCACAUGUUUGUGCAAUGCAACAUAAUGAAAAUUACUCUUGGAAAAGAAGUUCACUAGUUGCAACUUGCAAUUGUUUUGCUUUAUAGAAACGGUGUUGCUAUGAAUAUAGUAUUUGGAGCAUUGAGCGAUAAGGUGCAUUGUAGUUUGACAUGGAGGGUAUCCGUUGAAUCAUUGGAUAUUUUCCUUUUAUUAUGCUUGCUACCUGAUGUUAUUUAAUCAUUUGCAGAUACUCUUAUUUCACUUUUAUCACUGACAUACUGCACUCUAUGAUUGAGGGAAGCAACAUAAGAGAAUCUCAGAUCCUUUGUAAGAAGUUGGUGUUGCUAUUCUAUCACAUCUAUUGUCAUUUUUAAUGGAAUCAGAGAAAUGAUGGAACGAACUUUUAUGUCCAUAUUUUUGCAAUGUUAUGCCUACAUUUCCCUUCUUAAUUCAUAUAUGCCUCCUUUCUUUGAGUCCCAACAGAAAGAGUGAUUCUGAUUGCAAUCUGUUUAACCAGGUCCAGAGUUGGAAGCAUUGAUGAAACUCAUUGCAGGUCGUUCAGGUUGAAGAGUUGGUUCAAGAUAAUUUAUGGUCUAAGAUUCUUUGUAUCUAACAGCUCAAGAUGUAUCAUACAUUAUAGUGCUGUUGCAUAGAGUGAUUAUUGUUUGUUAGUGCCAAAAACACACAAUGACAAUCCGAUCCUUUUAUAGCAAGAGUGGUU